Molecule: microRNA precursor, 114 nt
Filed under: Prunus dulcis (almond)
Lineage: Eukaryota; Viridiplantae; Streptophyta; Magnoliopsida; Rosales; Rosaceae
Description: sRNA ncRNA
Source: RNAcentral
AACUACUAUUCAUGUGAAUAGUGGCUGCCCUAACUCCCCCUUUGCCAUGGCUAAGAGCAUCUCCACCUAUAAGGGCUAAGGCAAGGGCAAGGGUUGCCACUAUUCACGUGAAUA